Long non-coding RNA from Lolium perenne, 531 nucleotides. RefSeq lists it as uncharacterized. The record is from RefSeq and is a predicted model, not a curated record. NCBI's taxonomy places the organism in Eukaryota, Viridiplantae, Streptophyta, Magnoliopsida, Poales, Poaceae.
CUCGCUUCUCCCCUGACAAAGCAAUGAGGCGACCAUCAAGGCAACGCGAUGGGGGAAGCAGUCGCUCUGGCCGACGUAGGGGUUGAGGACCACGUCACCCACCAAAUCCCUCGCGCGUGCGCCCGCCAGAAUCCCGCGCUCGUGCAUGUGCUCCCGCCAAAUCCCACGCUCGCGCUGAAACAGAGAAGCUGCGAACGAGGGGAAGGCGCGAGCGAGCUGAGGCGAAAGACGCGCGAAGAAGGCGGCGCGCACUGGUCGUCCUCGACAGCCCGCCGGUAACAGCUUCGAUCUGCUGCUUCUGCAAGAAAUUAGAAGUCAACUGUGAGAAAGAUAUGGCAGGGAAGUCAACAGGAAGCCUCGAUGAUAUGAGACAUUUUUUCUGUGAUUCAAGUGAGAAUGAUAUGGCAAAAAGUCAGUCUGAAUUUUGAGAAUGGUGAACAAUAGCGUAUAACAUGUGAUAAUUUUUGGUUUCUGAAGUACUUAACAUAUGUGAUAUGAUUUUCGUGGCUUGUAUUCAGAAUUGUGCUACCA